This 3035-nucleotide long non-coding RNA is filed under the name Ornithorhynchus anatinus (platypus). RNAcentral describes it as "lncRNA (ENSOANG00000042277.1)". The record is from RNAcentral. Lineage: Eukaryota; Metazoa; Chordata; Mammalia; Monotremata; Ornithorhynchidae.
AUGAACAGGUUGAAACUUCAAGCAACUGCCCGAAAAGACCAGUCCUGCUGGAUCCAGCGGCCACCAUCAGUCACCAGCCCGCUGCCACUGGGCUUGGCUGGGGGGGCAGAGGUGGUGGUCCCCAGGGCAGCCUCCAGCAGCUCCCACCACAACCAUCCUUUCAAGCCGAUCCUGGGAGUUUUCAGAGCACGACCAAGUGACACAUUUCCAGAUGUAGCAGAAACUCCUAAGACCCGCCUGAAGAAGGGCCAGUUCAGUUGAACCACUAAAAAGCAGAAGACGGAAGCUGGGCAGCUUCACUUUUUUUUAAUGAUAUUUGUUAGGCACUUACUUUAUGCCAGGCACUGUACUAAGUGCUGGGGUAGAUAUUCAUUCAUUCAUUCUAUCACUCAAUUGUAUUUACUGAGCACCUACUGCAUGCACAGCACUGUGCUAAGGGCUUGGGAGAGUAUCCCAGCUCUGCCACUUGUCAGCUGUGUGACUGUGGGCAAGUCACUUCACUUCUCGGUGCCUCAGUUACCUCAUCUGUAAAAUGGGGAUUAACUGUGAGCCUCAUGUGGGACAACCUGAUUACCCUGUAUCAACCCCAGUGCUUAGCACAGUGCUCUGCACAUAGUAAGCGCUUAACAAAUACCAACAUUAUUACAAUACAACAAUAAACAGACACAGUCCCCGCCCACAAUGAGCUUUCAGUCUAGAGGGGGAGACAGACAUUAAUAUAAAUAAAUAUAUGAAUUAGAUACAAAUUAAUCAGGUUGGAAACAGUCCAUGUUCCACAUGGGGCUCACAGUCUCCCAUAGCAAUUCUUCACGGGAUCAGACAGACCCCAGAAGAGGCCCUUAUCUCCCCUAGUUACAGUGCAUUUUAAAAGAACACUUUUCGCUGCCUAACAGAAACCAAAUCGAUCAGUCAAUCCGUGGGCAUGUACUAAGCACAGGGCACUGUACCAAGUGCUCGUUAGAGAACAGCAGAGGAAGCAGCUUGGCUUAGUGGAAAGAGCACGGACUUGGGAGUCAGAGGACAUGGGUUCUAAUCCCACCUCCGCCACUCAUCUGCAGUGUGACUUUGGGCAAGUCGCUUAACUUCUCUGCGCCUCUGUUACCCCAUCUGUCAUAUGGCGAUUAAGACUGUGAGCCCCAAGUGGGACAACCUGAUUACCGUGUAUCUACCCCAGCGCUUAGAACAGUGCUGGCACAUAAUGAGCACUUAACAAAUACCAUAAUAAUAAUAAUAAAAGCACUAUCCCCUAUCUCAAGGAGUUUUCACCAAAACUACUGCCUCCAAAAACAGAUUUUGGGCCUCAACAUAAUUGGGAGGUGGGAAGAAAAAGCCUUAGUUUACUGAGAUGUGAUUCUCUUACAAGACCUUCAAGAUCCUACCUAACAUUGUGGCUGUAAACAGAGAUCUAGUUCCAGUGGUUUUCUCAAGUAAUAAUAAUAAUACUAAUAAUAAUGAUAAUGUUGGUAUUUGUUAAGUGCUUACUAUGUGCAGAGCACUGUUCUAAGCACUGGGGUAGAUACAGAGUCUAUCAGGUUGUCCCACGUGAGGCUCACAGUCUUAAUCCCCAUUUUACAGAUGAGGUAACUGAGGCACAGAGAAGUGAAGUGACUUGCCCACAGUCACACGGUUGACAAGAGGCAGAGCCGGGAUUCAAACCCAUGACCUCUGACUCCCAAGCCCGUGCUCUUUCCUCUGAGCCAAGCUGUUUCUCUAAUGAUGAUGAUGAUCGCAUUUGUUAAGUGUAAAACUCAUUGCUCCCAAGGCUUUCCCUCUUCCCGGGUUUCCAUUUCCAGCCUGUCCCAUUUAGAAGUCACUGGCUUCUGAGAGGGGGGCGAAGAUUGUGUAACUGAGCAUUGUAAAAACCCCGGCCUCUCCUGGCUUCCUCUACUGGCUUGGCAGGGAGGUGACUCCCUCCCUUCAACUGCUCUGGCUAGCUGACCGUGGGGGGGUCUAAUGGAUAAAUAAAAAUGAUGAUGGCAUUUGUUAAGCGAUUACUAUGUUCAUUCGUUCAAUCAUAUUUAUUGAGUGUUUACUGUGUGCGGAGCACUGUACUAAGUACCUGGGGAAGUACAGUACAACAGUAAUAAGCAGUGACAUUCCCUGCCCACGACGAGCUCACAAUCUACAGUGUGGGAAACGGACGUGGUGUGAGAAAUACAAGCUAAUCAGGUUGGACACAGUCCCGGUCCCACGGGGAGUCACAGUCUCAAUCCCCAUUUUACAGAUGAGGUAACUGAGGCAUAGAGAAAUUAAAGUGACUCGCCCAAGGUCACACGGCAGAGAAGUGGCUGAGCGGGUAUUAGAACGCAGGUCCUUCUGACUCCCAGGCCCCUGAUAUAUCCACUGGGCCGGGCUGCUUCCCAUCGGAUCCUACCCCGGCCAUUCGGGUGGUGAACGGAACCUCAAAAAGUCAUCUGAGUCUAGGUGAUUUUGGAGGAUGAGGGGACACAGAGGGGUCACAGAGACAGAGGUGGCCAAAGGGUGGAAGAGAAGCUAGUCUCAGAAUGACGGGGUGAAAAGGGAACUAAGCAUGAGAUAAACGGAUACGAACUUUCUUGAACCCCCUCUAGCUUCAGCUCUCUAUGGGCAGGGCACGUGUCUGCUAAUUCUGUUUCACUGUACUCUCCAUGGAGUAAGCAUUCAAUAAAUACCAGCGACUGGACCUGCUUGGCUGUGCGAAGUGGAUCAUAUUCAUGUAGAUACAUGUCCACCUCCAUGACCCCGACGUCUGCAGAAAGAAUUGCAAACGUGAGCAAGAGGGCAUGGUUGUGCCUAGCAAAACGUACAUUUGCAAACGCAUGAAAAUACACAUAUCCCAAAGCACACGCUUUUACGUGGUCUCUUAAGCGCUCACAUUCACGGACAUACACAAGCGCAACCCCCUGAAGGACUCACAUGUAUCCCAAACCCUGAAGAGGGGGAGUCACAGCGAGACGAGGAGGAGCGAAGGAGGGGCAGAGGUGGGGAGAAGUCCUCCGGGGGCGGGUGUGAGAUCUCAGUCGGCCUAGGAGUGGGCAGGGCUGGACCUGCUUCAU